Molecule: long non-coding RNA, 442 nt
Filed under: Mytilus galloprovincialis (Mediterranean mussel)
Lineage: Eukaryota; Metazoa; Mollusca; Bivalvia; Mytilida; Mytilidae
Source: RNAcentral
UUAAGGUGGCACGGUAGUAUUUGCAUUCCAGAAUUUAGGUUGCUCUUUUGUGUACCCUACUUAGGUAAAUGUAUCUAAACAGUGUGAUUGGACAAAAAAUACAGUAUCAACUGAACAUACUUUCCCAAACUGAGUGAUGAAUCAGGUGUAGAAAAAUAUGAAAUAAUUUUACAUACAGAUGAAAAUGAAUUUUUGAGAAUUUUUUUUAAAUUUUGUAUUCACUGCACCGUAAAAGACCUAAAAGUACUAGUGGCCUUAGGUUUUUAAAAAUAGCAAAAAAAGUAAACGGUCAUGAUACAUAUUCAAAUUCAUUUCUGAAUAGUAAAAUGAAAGUACUUCAAUUAACUGUGAAUGUAGAAUUUUUUGCAGUGUUAGAAAGUGGUGAAAAUUUUAAAAAGGCUAUCAUUAUCCCUUAUGGGCCAGGAAAUACUACCGUGCCACC